Molecule: ribosomal RNA, 511 nt
Filed under: uncultured Escherichia sp.
Lineage: Bacteria; Pseudomonadati; Pseudomonadota; Gammaproteobacteria; Enterobacterales; Enterobacteriaceae
Description: bacterial SSU rRNA
Rfam family: Bacterial small subunit ribosomal RNA
Source: RNAcentral
AUUGAACGCUGGCGGCAGGCCUAACACAUGCAAGUCGAACGGUAACAGGAAACAGCUUGCUGUUUCGCUGACGAGUGGCGGACGGGUGAGUAAUGUCUGGGAAACUGCAUCUGAUACUGGCAAGCUUGAGUCUCGUAGAGGGGGGUAGAAUUCCAGGUGUAGCGGUGAAAUGCGUAGAGAUCUGGAGGAAUACCGGUGGCGAAGGCGGCCCCCUGGACGAAGAUUGACGCUCAGGUGCGAAAGCGUGGGGAGCAAACAGGAUUAGAUACCCUGGUAGUCCACGCCGUAAACGAUGUCGACUUGGAGGUUGUGCCCUUGAGGCGUGGCUUCCGGAGCUAACGCGUUAAGUCGACCGCCUGGGGAGUACGGCCGCAAGGUUAAAACUCAAAUGAAUUGACGGGGGCCCGCACAAGCGGUGGAGCAUGUGGUUUAAUUCGAUGCAACGCGAAGAACCUUACCUGGUCUUGACAUCCACGGAAGUUUUCAGAGAUGAGAAUGUGCCUUCGGGAAC